AUACGUAGGGAGCGAGCGUUGUUCGGAAUUACUGGGUGUAAAGGGUGCGUAGGCGGGCGUGCAAGUCAGGUGUGAAAUCCAUGGGCUCAACCCAGGGGCUGCAUUUGAAACUGCAUUUCUUGAGGGAAGUAGAGGUAAGCGGAAUUUCUGGUGGAGCGGUGAAAUGCGUAGAUAUCUGGAGGAACACCGGUGGCGAAGGCGGCAUCCUGGACCACGACUGACGCUGAGGAGCGAAAGCCAGGGGAGCAAACGGGAUUAGAUACCCCGGUAGUCCUGGCCCUAAACGAUGAAUGCUUGGUGUGACGGGUAUCGAUCCCUGUCGUGCCGAAGCUAACGCAUUAAGCAUUCCGCCUGGGGAGUACGGUCGCAAGGCUGAAACUCAAAUGAAUUGACGG
Molecule: ribosomal RNA, 395 nt
Filed under: uncultured bacterium
Lineage: Bacteria
Description: partial 16S ribosomal RNA
Rfam family: Bacterial small subunit ribosomal RNA
Source: RNAcentral